Molecule: long non-coding RNA, 724 nt
Organism: Hypomesus transpacificus
Lineage: Eukaryota; Metazoa; Chordata; Actinopteri; Osmeriformes; Osmeridae
Exons: 3
Source: RefSeq, a predicted model, not a curated record
UGUAAAUAACACUGCAUUUAAAUUCAUCAAGGUAAUGGUUAACAUCGAAAUCAUAAUUUUGCCUCCAACAUUCCGGCCCCUGUAACUUCACAUGACUAUUACAACAGAUAUAAACGGAGCCAAUACACAUGAAAGUAUUGUUGUUCAUAACAAUGAUAGCAGCAUACAGUAUAUCAAUGUCCCUCUUCCUCUUGUCCCUUUUUUGCCUAGUUAACUCAUGAGUAUACAGUCCACAGUGUGUAUUGGUGUGCUUGUGUGAAGUGAAAGGGGGAAAUGGGGGGGUAGAGUUACAGUUCGUUUUGGGCCUCAACCAGCAGGAUCAGCUUAGUGAUGAGUCUGCGGAGUGUGCUAGUUUUUGUCAGCACUUGCACUUGCCGUUCGAAACCUUUUGAAUCUGGCAAGACUCUAAUGAUUUGUCCCAUGAUCCACAAGCCUCUUGGAGCAGUGUCGUCGAUGAUGAGGAUAAUGUCUCCUGUGACAACAUUUCAAAUUUUCUUGGCCCAUUUUUGUUGUACUUGGAGUUCGGUUUGAUAAGUGUUCCAGUUGUCCAGGCCUCCCUUGGUGCCCAUAGUGCGGGCGAUCCUGGACACCAGCAGACGGUUGUCCCUUUCCAGCUCCAUCAGGCGCUCCUGCUCCAUCUACAUACACCACGUUGGAUAAAGUUUUAGAUGACAGUGCAAGUAUGUCCUGGGAGCUUUGUUGUCCACCAUUGGUUUAGCUUCAA